This 273-nucleotide non-coding RNA is filed under the name Acetivibrio thermocellus. RNAcentral's name for it is "Clostridium thermocellum T-box sequence". It matches the Rfam family "T-box leader". From Rfam's summary of the family: Uncharged tRNA acts as the effector for transcription antitermination of genes in the T-box leader family. T-boxes are found upstream of many aminoacyl-tRNA synthetase genes and some amino acid biosynthetic genes usually in Gram-positive bacteria. Lineage: Bacteria; Bacillati; Bacillota; Clostridia; Acetivibrionales; Acetivibrionaceae. The record is from RNAcentral.
UUAAAGGCAAUGAUGGGGUAAAGUAGGUUAUAUAUUCUUUUUAAGCGAGCCGGGGACGGUGCGAGCCCGGUAAAAGGAUUAUAACUGAAGUUCACCGCCUGAGCUGUUGGCUGAAAAGCGGUUCACACCGCUAAAGUAGGCUUAACCGGAGCUUUCACCGUUAAAAGAAAGGUUGUAUCGGAUUAUUAAUAAUAUAUAAUCCCGUACAAUAAUGAGUGGGCUUUAUGCCAAUUUGGGUGGUACCGCGUGGAGAAUACACUCCUCGUCCCUUAA